UUGGAGGGCAAGUCUGGUGCCAGCAGCCGCGGUAAUUCCAGCUCCAAUAGCGUAUAUUAAAGUUGUUGCAGUUAAAAAGCUCGUAGUUGAAUUUCGGGAUCAAUUUGCUGGUCGUGCCUUCGGUACGCACUGGUAUUAUUGGUUUCUCCUUUCUGAAGAAUCACGAUGUCAUUAAUUUGGUGUCGUGAGGAAUCAGGACUGUUACUUUGAAAAAAUUAGAGUGUUUAAAGCAGGCUCACGCCUGAAUACAUUAGCAUGGAAUAAUGAAAUAGGACGUUUGAUUCUAUUUUGUUGGUUUCUAGGAUCGACGUAAUGAUUAAUAGGGAUAGUUGGGGGCAUUAGUAUUCAAUUGUCAGAGGUGAAACUCUUGGAUUUAUUGAAGACUAACUACUGCGAAAGCAUUUGCCAAGGAUGUUUUCAUUAAUCAAGAACGAAAGUUAGGGGAUCGAAGACGAUCAGAUACCGUCGUAGUCUUAACCAUAAACUAUGCCGACUAGGGAUCGGAUGAUGUUAAUUUUUUAAUGACUCAUUCGGCGCCUUACGGGAAA
This 548-nucleotide ribosomal RNA is filed under the name uncultured Glomeromycotina. Its description in RNAcentral is "SSU rRNA". It matches the Rfam family "Eukaryotic small subunit ribosomal RNA", at positions 548 to 1097 of the family's 1831-position model. The record is from RNAcentral. Lineage: Eukaryota; Fungi; Glomeromycota.